UACAGAGGUGGCAAGCGUUGUUCGGAAUUACUGGGCGUAAAGGGCGCGUAGGCGGCCUUCUAAGUCAGACGUGAAAUCCCCAGGCUUAACUUGGGAACUGCGUCUGAUACUGGGAGGCUUGAGUGCGGUAGGGGAGACUGGAAUUCCGUGGUGUAGCGGUGAAAUGCGCAGAUAUCAGGAGGAACACCGGUGGCGAAGGCGGGUCUCUGGGCCGUAACUGACGCUGAGGAGCGAAAGCAUGGGGAGCGAACAGG
This 254-nucleotide ribosomal RNA is filed under the name uncultured bacterium. RNAcentral describes it as "partial 16S ribosomal RNA". It matches the Rfam family "Bacterial small subunit ribosomal RNA", at positions 524 to 776 of the family's 1533-position model. The record is from RNAcentral.